GCAUUGGUGGUUCAGUGGUAGAAUUCUCACAUUCCAACAGGGAGACCUGGGUUUGAUUCCUGGCCACUGCA
This 71-nucleotide transfer RNA is filed under the name Loxodonta africana (African savanna elephant). It matches the Rfam family "tRNA". From Rfam's summary of the family: Transfer RNA (tRNA) molecules are approximately 80 nucleotides in length. Their secondary structure includes four short double-helical elements and three loops (D, anti-codon, and T loops). The record is from Rfam by way of RNAcentral. Lineage: Eukaryota; Metazoa; Chordata; Mammalia; Proboscidea; Elephantidae.